UACGAAUCGUCCAAACGUUGUUCGGAUUCACUGGGUUUAAAGGGCGCGUAGGCGGUGCGUUAAGUCGGCGGUGAAAUACUUCGGCUCAACCGGAGAAUUGCCGCUGAAACUGGCGUGCUCGAGGGAGGUAGAGGUGCGUGGAACUUCCGGUGGAGCGGUGAAAUGCGUUGAUAUCGGGAGGAACACCGGUGGCGAAGGCGGCUCUCUGGACCACUACUGACGCUGAGGCGCGAAAGCUAGGGGAGCAAACAGG
RNAcentral lists this ribosomal RNA (253 nucleotides) under uncultured prokaryote. RNAcentral describes it as "partial 16S ribosomal RNA". It matches the Rfam family "Bacterial small subunit ribosomal RNA", at positions 524 to 776 of the family's 1533-position model. The record is from RNAcentral.